Molecule: ribosomal RNA, 497 nt
Filed under: uncultured bacterium
Lineage: Bacteria
Description: partial 16S ribosomal RNA
Rfam family: Bacterial small subunit ribosomal RNA
Source: RNAcentral
GAUGAACGCUGGCGGCGUGCCUAAUACAUGCAAGUCGAGCGAACAGACGAGGAGCUUGCUCCUCUGACGUUAGCGGCGGACGGGUGAGUAACACGUGGAUAACCUACCUAUAAGACUGGGAUAACUUCGGGAAACCGGAGCUAAUACCGGAUAAUAUAUUUAACCGCAUGGUUCAAUAGUGAAAGACGGUUUUGCUGUCACUUAUAGAUGGAUCCGCGCCGCAUUAGCUAGUUGGUAAGGUAACGGCUUACCAAGGCAACGAUGCGUAGCCGACCUGAGAGGGUGAUCGGCCACACUGGAACUGAGACACGGUCCAGACUCCUACGGGAGGCAGCAGUAGGGAAUCUUCCGCAAUGGGCGAAAGCCUGACGGAGCAACGCCGCGUGAGUGAUGAAGGUCUUCGGAUCGUAAAACUCUGUUAUUAGGGAAGAACAAAUGUGUAAGUAACUAUGCACGUCUUGACGGUACCUAAUCAGAAAGCCACAGCUAACUACGUG